Mus musculus (house mouse) is the source of this 1141-nucleotide long non-coding RNA. RefSeq annotates it as predicted gene, 36180. The record is from RefSeq and is a predicted model, not a curated record. The transcript has 3 exons. NCBI's taxonomy places the organism in Eukaryota, Metazoa, Chordata, Mammalia, Rodentia, Muridae.
GUAUUUCUUUGUAUAGCAGUGUGAUUAUAAAGAAAUAAACUCACGUAUCUUAGGAACACAGCCUCAAACACUUUAAGCAAUGAUUAACAUAACUUUGUGUGGUGUGACAUUUUUCCUGGAAAGACAAAGAUAUAAACAAGCAUCCACUCACCCCAGACAGGGCACCAAGAACAGACCAAAGAGAACAUAGCACCAAACUCCAAUGCGGUGAGCCACCGAGUUUUACUAGGGGGUUACUUACAGAAGUAUGGGUGAGACGUUACUUUCAGAAACAGAAAUGACACAAAGAGAGCUAUAUCACCAGAGUCCCAGCCAGCGUGUGUGAUGGGCCACGGAAGCUGGAACACACUGCACAGCCAAAGAACCAAGAUUGCUAUGGAUUAUAACCUGGCUGCCAAGAGACUCUUUGGGGAGGCUUUUUACCUCUCUCGAAGGUGACAGACAGAAGAAUGCGGUUGGAGCUGGUGGGAAGAUGGCUGCACAUUGUGGACAAGAAGGGAGGGAUCCUGCAUGCUUAUCUCUAAUUGCUAAAAAAGAAAAAAAGAAGAAGAAGAAGAAGAAGAAGAAGAAGAAGAAGAAGAAGAAGAAGAAAAAAAGAAAAUACUGUUUUGAAAUCAACUCUAUUAUUUUGCCUUGGGGAUAAAAACAAAUAUCAUUGCUAGUUAGUUUUUGUAGUUUUCCAGAGGUCAGGGUCAGUGGUAUAUAAAUGAUGACAUAGUUUACUCUCCAGUCGCCCUGACCACUGUAAUUUGCAUCUAAUGGCGGUAUAGCCAGACUCCACAAAGAAGCAAUUUAACUUGUUUCCCGGGUCUCACUACUAUAAAUAAUACUGCAGUGAACUUCCUUAUUAAUGCACGCUUCCCACAAAUGCUCCUUCCACCUGGCAGACUUGUUCCUGGACGUGCAAUCACAGCUCUAAAGACUGAACAGUGUUAAUACUGGAAGGUAUUACUCUGUUUUUCUCACCAGAGGUUUUCUCUUCUUCCUUCUUGUGGCUCAAGGUGUGACUUCUCAGCCUUCUGUUCCUGCUGCCGUGCCUGCCACCUAAACUCCUGUUGCCAUUCCUCUACUCUACCAGCAUGGACUUCUUUCCUUAGGAACUACAAGCCCCAAUAAACCCCUUCUUCCAUAAAUUGCCGUA